This 562-nucleotide ribosomal RNA is filed under the name Vishniacozyma victoriae. RNAcentral describes it as "eukaryotic LSU rRNA". It matches the Rfam family "Eukaryotic large subunit ribosomal RNA", at positions 95 to 643 of the family's 3401-position model. Lineage: Eukaryota; Fungi; Basidiomycota; Tremellomycetes; Tremellales; Bulleribasidiaceae. The record is from RNAcentral.
GAACAGGGAUGAGCUCAAAUUUAAACAUCUGGCGUCUUUCAGGCGUCCGAGUUGUAAUCUAUAGAGGCGUUUUCCGCGCCUGGACCGCGUCCAAGUCUCUUGGAAUAGAGUAUCAAAGAGGGUGACAAUCCCGUACUUGACGCGACAACCGGUGCUCUGUGAUACGUUCUCAAUGAGUCGAGUUGUUUGGGAAUGCAGCUCUAAAUGGGUGGUAAAUUCCAUCUAAGGCUAAAUAUUGGCGAGAGACCGAUAGCGAACAAGUACCGUGAGGGAAAGAUGAAAAGCACUUUGGAAAGAGAGUUAAACAGCACGUGAAAUUGUUAAAAGGGAAACGAUUGAAGUCAGUCGUGUGAAAGGUAUUCAGCCGUCUCUGGCGGUGUAUUUGCCUUUCACGGGUCAACAUCAGUUUGAUCCGGUAGAAACAAGGCGGGAGGAAGGUGGCACCCUCGGGUGUGUUAUAGCCUCCUGUCAUAUGUGCCGGACCAGACUGAGGAACGCAGCUUGCCGCAAGGCCGGGGUUCGCCCACGUACAAUGCUUAGGAUGUUGACAUAAUGGCUUUAA